Molecule: ribosomal RNA, 82 nt
Filed under: Bacillus sonorensis
Lineage: Bacteria; Bacillati; Bacillota; Bacilli; Caryophanales; Bacillaceae
Description: partial 16S ribosomal RNA
Rfam family: Bacterial small subunit ribosomal RNA
Source: RNAcentral
UUCAUGGAGAGUUUGAUCCUGGCUCAGGACGAACGCUGGCGGCGUGCCUAAUACAUGCAAGUCGAGCGAACCGGCGGGAGCU